RNAcentral lists this ribosomal RNA (493 nucleotides) under uncultured bacterium. RNAcentral's name for it is "partial 16S ribosomal RNA". It matches the Rfam family "Bacterial small subunit ribosomal RNA", at positions 29 to 523 of the family's 1533-position model. The record is from RNAcentral.
AUUGAACGCUGGCGGCAUGCUUUACACAUGCAAGCCGAACGGUAACAGGUUAAGCUGACGAGUGGCGAACGGGUGAGUAAUGCAUCGGAACGUGCCCGGUCGUGGGGGAUAACGCAGCGAAAGCUGCGCUAAUACCGCAUACGAUCUGAGGAUGAAAGCGGGGGACCGUAAGGCCUCGCGCGAUCGGCGCGGCCGAUGUCAGAUUAGGUAGUUGGUGGGGUAAAGGCUCACCAAGCCAACGAUCUGUAGCUGGUCUGAGAGGACGACCAGCCACACUGGGACUGAGACACGGCCCAGACUCCUACGGGAGGCAGCAGUGGGGAAUUUUGGACAAUGGGCGAAAGCCUGAUCCAGCAAUGCCGCGUGCAGGAAGAAGGCCUUCGGGUUGUAAACUGCUUUUGUACGGAGCGAAAAGGUCUCCUCUAAUACAGGGGGCUCAUGACGGUACCGUAAGAAUAAGCACCGGCUAACUACGUGCCAGCCGCCGCAGUAA